RNAcentral lists this unclassified non-coding RNA (200 nucleotides) under uncultured fungus. Its description in RNAcentral is "sequence contains ITS1". Lineage: Eukaryota; Fungi. The record is from RNAcentral.
UUAACUAUUAUAUAGUACUCAGACGACACUAAUAUUCAGGGUUUGGGGUUCUCUGGCGGGCGCUUACCAACCGAAGCCGGUAGCCUGACCGAGGCCUGACGGCCCGCCAAAGCAACAAAGAUAGUAUAACACAGGGUGGGAGAUCUACCCUUGCGGGCAUGAACUCUGUAAUGAUCCCUCCGCAGGUUCACCUACGGAGA